AUUGAACGCUGGCGGCAUGCCUUACACAUGCAAGUCGAACGGCAGCGGGCCUUCGGGUGCCGGCGAGUGGCGAACGGGUGAGUAAUGCAUCGGAACGUGCCAUUGAGUGGGGGAUAACGUAGCGAAAGUUGCGCUAAUACCGCAUAUUCUGUGAGCAGGAAAGCAGGGGACCGCAAGGCCUUGCGCUCUUUGAGCGGCCGAUGUCAGAUUAGCUAGUUGGUGGGGUAACGGCUUACCAAGGCGACGAUCUGUAGCGGGUCUGAGAGGAUGAUCCGCCACACUGGAACUGAGACACGGUCCAGACUCCUACGGGAGGCAGCAGUGGGGAAUUUUGGACAAUGGGGGCAACCCUGAUCCAGCCAUGCCGCGUGAGUGAAGAAGGCCUCGGUUGUAAG
This 395-nucleotide ribosomal RNA is filed under the name uncultured bacterium. Its description in RNAcentral is "bacterial SSU rRNA". It matches the Rfam family "Bacterial small subunit ribosomal RNA", at positions 30 to 429 of the family's 1533-position model. The record is from RNAcentral.